RNAcentral lists this transfer RNA (75 nucleotides) under Bacteroidales bacterium. RNAcentral's name for it is "tRNA-Met". It matches the Rfam family "tRNA". From Rfam's summary of the family: Transfer RNA (tRNA) molecules are approximately 80 nucleotides in length. Their secondary structure includes four short double-helical elements and three loops (D, anti-codon, and T loops). The record is from RNAcentral. Lineage: Bacteria; Pseudomonadati; Bacteroidota; Bacteroidia; Bacteroidales. RNAcentral also lists the same sequence under 1 other name.
UGCGGGGUAGAGCAGAGGUAGCUCGUCGGGCUCAUAACCCGGAGGUCGUAGGUUCGAGUCCUGCCCCCGCUACCA